Long non-coding RNA from Orcinus orca (killer whale), 1265 nucleotides. RefSeq lists it as uncharacterized. NCBI's taxonomy places the organism in Eukaryota, Metazoa, Chordata, Mammalia, Artiodactyla, Delphinidae. The transcript has 3 exons. The record is from RefSeq and is a predicted model, not a curated record.
GUGACUGGUGUCCUUCUAGGAAGAGGCGGUGAGGACCCAGAUGCAGAGAGACAGACACUGUGGGCAGAAGGACGAGCCCACGAAAAGGCAAGAGCAGGCGGCAGCAGCAGGCCAAGGACAGAGGCUCAGGGGAGCCCGCCUGCCAGCACCGUGACCUUGGACUCCCAGCCUCCAGAACUGCGAGAAAUACAGGUUUCUGUUGUUCAUCCACCGCCCAGUCUCUGGUGUACGUCUAUGGAGCCCGAGCGAACCAGCACAGACGGCUUUCAGGGCCGAGCCUAAGUCACACUCCUGGUCCUGGGGCUCCUGUGCUGUGCCCAGGUCACGUCCAGCGUGGUCCCCACCACGCCAUCCAGCCGCUGUAUUUGUGGGCUGCUCUCAGCCAAUGAGGAAAUCAGCACAAGAACAUCACCUGUCUGCCUCACUCACUGUGUGUCUCCACCAGCGAGGUCUUCAGAAAGUCAAACCUGAAUAUCAGUAAGACUCACGAUGCAACUUCCAAAUUACAGGAGAUACAGGGGACAGGGGAACCCGUCCGGCGACACCGUAAGGAGGAAGUAAGAUUCAGAACACUGGAAACGCUACAGGACAACUAAUCCGGUUUCUUUAGCAAAUUAAAAGGCAAUAAAAACAACAGGUGGGAAGGAGAUUGCAGAUUAAGUGAGACUUAACAGACCUGUCAACCAGUCACAAGAUACGACCUCACCUGGAUCCUACUUCAAGCAAAGUAUUAAAAAUGAGGUCAAGUCUUUCUGGCUGUGUGUGCGCAUGUGCCUGUGCGUAACCUUGAACUUGUCCCAUUGCGACAGUUAAAAGCCAAAGCAUCACAGGCAUCAGAAUCACCUGCGGCCUUGCAGUCCCAGCGCCCUGCCCCUGCCCGCCCAGCCUGCUGACUUGCUGGAUCUCCAAGUGAAUGGAGAAGCCUGGGCUGGAGGUCCUGGGCGGACAACGGAAAGCGUGUGUGCACCUGCCGACUGGCCGGGAAGGGACAGGACCAGACCCCGGGGAACAGAAGCCAAGGUAGUGGCAUGUUUCAAGAGACACCCACCCCUGCCCGGACUCAGCCGGACGUCACCCUGGUGUGGGGGACCCUAGACCCUGCAAACCAAAUCUCCCCGCAGGAAAGACCGGGGCCCUUGGUGUGGCUGUCACCCUACUGUCCUGCAUUUAAGGUCAGCAAUCUUGAGAGAAAAUAAAGACAACGGGAUUCAAUUAACCUGAAAGAAUGCAUCAAGGCAAAUACAACAAUGAGUCAUUAAAUAACA